UUUCUUUCCUCUCGUCACACCAGAAUCCUGAGGUCCCAAGACAGCUGAGGACUCUGUUCGGUGCCACCAAAGGAAUGCUGCCACUCAGACUGCCAUACCCCUGCCCUUAGAACUGAGGUCAGGCGAUGAGCUGCCAAGCGAACCAUGGCUCCCGUCUCCCCGCUGUAAGAGCCGCAGGACCCGAAGGCGAAAAUAGCAAAGAGCUAAGAGAAAGUGGGAGAGUCAGAAGGUCUCACCCGUCCAAGGAACUUCAAUACCUGUGCCGACAAGACAGGAGCCAAAAAUGUGCCUAUCAUCUCUGUGAAGGGAAUCAAGGGAUGGCUGGACAGACUUCCUGUUGCCGGUGAGUGACAUGGUGAUGGCCACAGUUAAGAAAAACAAACCAGGGCGG
Long non-coding RNA from Peromyscus leucopus (white-footed mouse), 391 nucleotides. RefSeq lists it as uncharacterized. The transcript is spliced from 3 exons. The record is from RefSeq and is a predicted model, not a curated record. Lineage: Eukaryota; Metazoa; Chordata; Mammalia; Rodentia; Cricetidae.